Molecule: ribosomal RNA, 435 nt
Filed under: Lecanora excludens
Lineage: Eukaryota; Fungi; Ascomycota; Lecanoromycetes; Lecanorales; Lecanoraceae
Description: SSU rRNA
Rfam family: Bacterial small subunit ribosomal RNA
Source: RNAcentral
AGGAUUAGAUACCCCAGUAGUCAAAGCAGAAAAUGAUGAAUGUCAUAGAUUAGACAUAUAGUUUAUUCUAUAAAUGAAAGUGUAAGCAUUCCACCUCAAGAGUAAUUUGGCAACAUUGGAACUGAAAUCAUUAGACCGUUUCUGAAACCAGUAGUGAAGUAUGUUGUUUAAUUUGAUAAUCCGCAAAAAACCUUACCACAAUUUGAAUAUUUAUAUCUUUUUUUCUUCAUUUCCAUCUUUUCGUGGAAAAGAUGAUAAAAGAUAUAUUUACAAGCGUUGCACGGCUGUCUUCAGUUAAUGUCGUGAGACUUUGGUUAGUUCCAUUAAAUUAACGUAAACCCUUACUUUAUUUUUAUAUAAAGUAGUUCCCCACUAGAUUGGAUAAGAUAACAGGGACUAAGACAAGUCAUCAUGGCCUUAAUAUUGUGGGCUAUA